GCAGAGUCGUAGCCGAGCGGUUAAGGCGAUGGACUAGAACUCCAUUGGGAUCUUUCCGCGUAGGUUCGAAUCCUACCGACUGCG
Molecule: non-coding RNA, 84 nt
Organism: Trichonephila inaurata madagascariensis
Lineage: Eukaryota; Metazoa; Arthropoda; Arachnida; Araneae; Nephilidae
Source: the annotation of a GenBank genome assembly